Molecule: long non-coding RNA, 4226 nt
Organism: Bombus pascuorum
Lineage: Eukaryota; Metazoa; Arthropoda; Insecta; Hymenoptera; Apidae
Exons: 3
Source: RefSeq, a predicted model, not a curated record
UAAGACGUGCCGCAUUCUAACGGUGAUCUAUUUACGUCCCUUGCUCUUCGAGAUCCCAGCGCCCGCGGCUCGAACAGACCUAAUUUUAUAUUCGGAGCAAAAACUCCGGCACCAUUGCCAAGUGGAGCUCUAACAAUCGCCACCACUGCGUUGCUCGCGGCCUCUUCUAAUUCUUGUGUGUUAACGCCGGCUCCUCUAACCCGGAUACCCGUCACUAUAUCGCGAAUAAUCGUACUAGGUUACGAGUAAAGCUUCUGUAUCGUGUCGUUUAAUGAAAAUUUUUAGAAUUACAGAUGCCAACUUUUCUGACUUUUUGCAAGUGAAGUGUAUUGUUAAUGUGUUUGGUGGUAGAAGAUAUUCUUUGGGCGGCUGAGCUGCUUCAGUUUGAAUUAGACUCAAAGUGUUCGCAAAAUUAUGCUUGGAGUGUUCUGUUCGUUCUAGAAAAUAAAAUAUGAAUACAUUUUAUUUUAUAAAAAUACUUUAUUAAAAUGUAUUCAUAUUUUAUUUUCUAGAACGUCAUUUUUUAAUUAGUAAGUUAUGUUUGUCCUUGCCCAACGCAUUGCGAUGGCGCUAAUUAUUUUCUUAAUUUUAAUUAAGAGUAUCUUUCUUUCUUUGGUUGCAAGCUUUUUAUUCCAGUCUUCUAUUUUAAAUUAAAAUUCACAUUAAAUUCAUCAAGUUCAUUUUACAUCCAGUUACAUUCAUUCAGGUAAAAUCGUAUCAAAUAGUUCUCUGUAAUUUUACUACCCGUAUAAAUGGAAAAAUGAAAUUCUCUUAAAUGUCAGUAUCAUCUAAAAUGCUUCGCAAGUAUAAUCCGAAAAUAAGGUUAAAAAUGUAAUAGAGUAACAAGUAAGUGAACAAAAUAAAUAGGUAUUUCAACUUUCCUAUGUGUAAUUUUUGAACGAAAGUUUGCACGCAUAUUCAAGUGGGAUACUCGAGGCGAUUCCGAGUGAACAAUUUUAAAUCAGAACAUACGGAACUUUCGUGGAAAAUGUCAGGACGAAAGUCACGAAAAUCGCGGGCCGACUGCGCGGAAACCGUGGAAAUAACAGAAUUGUCGUUUUUCUAUGGCUUCUGAUCGCGCUUUCGGCCUUAAGCUUCCUUUCCCUUUUGUAACAGGAUCGGUGAAACAAAAGAACGAGGGUAAAGUUUGGCGGUAGAGACAGGAUUAAUGCCCACCGCGAGGGAAGCUUUCGAAAGCUCCGGAUCCGGCAUGGAAACGGCGACAACGAGCUACCGGGGAUUUACUCUGUGAAAGCAGAGGGAAACGAACGAACAACGAGCCCAUCUGCUGAUACAAUUCCAAUUGACCGUUGUUGCCUGCGUAGAAACAUAUUUGAAACAUAUAAAUCUUCGCUCUUUGAUAUAAUCUUCUAAUAAAUGUACAUUACAAAGUGUCUUUCGUGAUCCAAUGUUAUUUCGAUAUCUGAAGAAUUUAAUUUAAUCAGAAAUAUAUCAGCGCAAUUAAAUAUUUUUUGAAAAGGAAAUUUAUAUUAUAAAUUUAUAACAUAAAUUGCUUUUUGCGAUCCAACGGUAUUUUGAUAUUGGAGAAAUGAAUUUAAUAGAAAUAUAUUGGAAGAAUUUACGUCCUACAUCCUGUUACCUCGAAUUUAAUAUAUCUAUCGUUAAAUGUACAAGAACUCAGGUGAUUUAUCGGUGUUCAUCGAUAACGUUAUCGUCAUCGAUAGCUCCUGCCACGGCACUUGGCAAGACACAGCGGCUGUUACGCAUCCAAAUGCAAUUAUUUAUCGGCCCGUGAAAAUAGAAUGCUCGCGGUCGUGCUAUAUAUAAUAGGUGCACGUAGCUGACAAAUACGAGCCAGUAACACGAAUUCGAUGUAGCAAUUAAUAAUGACGAACGAGCGUGCCGACCUCUUAGUCAUCGUUCGAGUACCAGCUAAUACCAACCAAGGGUCACCGUGUCGAAGCGACAUAGAACUGCAAUAACCGAGUAAUUAACAGUCGAGGAGCCAGACAUCGCAUAAACAUUAAUCACUUCAACGUGGUAUAUAAAAUCUCAUGCGCUAAUAAACUAGAGUAGAAUCUUGUAACUUCUGUAACAGGAUAACCUAGCUUCUAAAUAAUGAAAUCAAAGUCUGAAACAAAAUAUUCUGUCCAAUGGAUAAUUGAAUUAAAUUAUGGGAGUAAAUGUUGGAUGCAAUAUUUCUUGAGAAUCGAUUAACCUCGAGGAAAUGAAUUUUCAAGACCUUUACGACCUUGCAUCUUCGAAACGAUUUAUAACUUGACCGAAUUUACCAAAAUUCCUCUUAAGUCGAUCUUAUCCAUCUAUGCAUUUAGGUUUAGCCAGUUGUAAGUUUGAAGAAAUCUUCUCUCGGUUUCGCAAUGUCUAAAGAAAUGUAACGAUGCUAAUGAGAUAGAAGUUGUACACGUAGAAGUUUAAGCAAGAAGCUUCCUGCAUGUCGCAUCCUCCUGUCGUCGGUCAACACGGAAGUGAACUGAACCCUUGGAUGUGCAAACAUUGAGAAAAGAAAGAGAGAGAGAAAGAGAGAGACGUGAUGUACGCCAUAAAACACAGCGAAUUCUUGCUGGAGACGAGGCGGGAUCUUAGUCGUAAUAACGUCUCUUUGGCACGCCAAUUAACCGGUGCAAUAAAUUGCUUUUUCCCUGUUCCUGCUGGCGAAUGUGCACUUUAAAUUGCGAGGGAGCUUCGUGGAUGACCUACAUUUUUCGAAUAAAUUGGAAAAUCCAUGCUGCACCAAGAAUUCAAACGUUUCAUUCGACUUUUGAUGGAAUUUGAAUUAUUUAAUUAUGUUGCUUGUUAAACCGAUAUUCGACUAGAUAUCGUUAUGGGAUUAAUAAGAGGGAGGUGACAUUUGAAAAACAUUUCUUCAAGCAAGUGGGAAGAAUACGAAACUAUUCAUUGAAGAAUAAAAAGUUUCUUUUAGAAUUUAUAAAAGUCAUACAAAUAUUUAGUUGGCUAAAUAUUCUGUAUACGGUGACUAAUAUACAAUUUCUCGCUAGACAUUCUAUUUUAUUUUCAAACCAUCGCGUUGAUAGUACAGUCUGGAAUAAUAAACAUUUGCUAAAAAUACGUUUCGAGUUAUUGCCCUGUUUCUUCAUUAAUGUCUAUUUUCAGAUGAAAUAUUUUAGACGUUCUUAAUGAGGAUCGAAUACAUUGGUAUAAUAUUAGAAAAAUGUUAUUUUUAAACGGCGCCAUUUACAUCUCAAAAAAUGAUAUCAACAUUCCAUGAUGUCAGAGAUCGAGAUUUCUAACUUCUGAAUAAUUCAAUGAAAUUGCAGAAACGAAUUGAGAAAGAAAGAAUGAACUCAUGCACUUCCAUUCAGAAUCGAAUUUUCCAUGACAUGCAUUCCGAGAUAUCAGAAACGCGUGAUGUUACGACGAGAAAGAUUUUAUGCCGCGAGAUUAAUGUUAACAGACAGCAAGACCGAGAUCUAUUCCGGUCGAGGCCGGCUAUGUUUAGAGAAUUCGAGAACGUUUACCUAAUAUAGAGCUAAGUAAUCGUCGUGCUAUCGAUUGCACGAAUUUUGGCCAGACUUUCUGUAAGCUCAGGUUCUUUAUUCCCUCGUAAUUGCGGCGCGCUUUACUUGGCAAUCGACUUGCUUGGCCACUGCUCAGGCUUUUAGGCGACCACAAUCGAUGCUACGCACCCCUCGAACGACUCCGCGAAAAAUGAAUCGAUAACAUCCUCUAAUAUCAAUCAUAUUUAAGAAACUGACUUGUAAAACGAGUGAAAACUGUUAUAUCUCUCCUAAACUUUAUAACAAGCAAGACUAUAAGAAAUUCCAAUUAGAAGUUUCCGAUAGCACUCUCCCUCGCAUCAGCCAUAUCUACACGUAAAAGAAUUGCUGAUUGGUCUUAAAAAAGAUUAAAAAGCCAUUAUAGUGUUAUAAUGUAAAUUUUGCUCUCCAUUUGUCAAUAUUAUAAAGAACUUCUAAUAUACAAUUAAAAUCGUUCUCAGGAAUGCCCCGAUUUCAAACAUCCACUGCAUCAGCACGUUUUUCCCAAAACCAAGAAAUAAGGCAACAUCGAACGUGAAAGGAAUUGCGCGAUAACGAUCGUUUUCUCAUAACGCAGCGUUCGAAAAGAAAAAAGAAAAAAAAAGAAGGCACUUAUCGAGGUUGGAUAAUGUUUCCAAGUAACGCGGAAUGUCACGUUGGAAAACGUCUUUCCUUGUUAUCGCUGAGCGACGAAUUUUUAUCAAGCACGGCGCGAUAACGUGCAACACUUUGCCAACGAAACUCGCUCGA